GACGAACGCUGGCGGCGUGCCUAACACAUGCAAGUCGAGCGGGGAUGAUGGAGAGCUUGCUCAAAAUCAUUCUAGCGGCGGACGGGUGAGUAACGCGUGAGCAACCUGCCUUCUACUGGGGAAUAACGCACCGAAAGGUGUGCUAAUACCGCAUGAGACCACAGUACCGCAUGGUACAGAGGUCAAAGAUUUAUCGCUGAGAGGUGGGCUCGCGUCCGAUUAGAUAGUUGGUGAGGUAACGGCUCACCAAGUCGACGAUCGGUAGCCGACCUGAGAGGGUGAUCGGCCACAUUGGGACUGAGACACGGCCCAAACUCCUACGGGAGGCAGCAGUGGGGAAUAUUGGGCAAUGGGCGAAAGCCUGACCCAGCAACGCCGCGUGAAGGAAGAAGGUCUUCGGAUCGUAAACUUCUGUCCUAAGUGAAGAGAAGAAGACGGUAGCUUAGGAGGAAGCCCCGGCUAACUACGUG
Molecule: ribosomal RNA, 470 nt
Filed under: uncultured bacterium
Lineage: Bacteria
Description: bacterial SSU rRNA
Rfam family: Bacterial small subunit ribosomal RNA
Source: RNAcentral